AUGCCCAAGUGGACCAUGGGAGGGAGGGCCGACGCCGGGGCCGAUGCCAUAGCGCACGAAGCUCCGGUGCAGGUUUCACCUACGCCGGAGCAGGUGACUCCUCUGCCACACCAUCUGCCUCCUCUGCCACGCCAUCUGCCUCCUCUGCCGCAGCCCGUGGUCAACAUCGACGGCGACGACGACAAAGAAGAGGUAGCUGCUCUGGCUCCUCAGACGGAGCAUGUGUCUCCUCUGCCACGGGUGACGCCUCCUGUGCCCGAGCCUGUGGUCGUCGGCGAUGUCAACAAAGAAGACCCUCAGCCGGGUGUUCGUCUGCUGCGGUUGUUGCCUCCCCUGCCCCCACCUGUGGUCGUCGCCGACGAGAACGAAGAAGAGGUAGCUGCUCUUGCUCCUCAGACAGAGCAGGUCCUAAGUGACGACGUUGACAGCGACCUAGAAACCCAGAGGAUCUUCAGGAGGCAGAAGGUGAGGCAGCUGGACAGUGGUGAGCUCGAGAAAGUUGUGAGUCCUAGAUUAGGAAACGGCUACGGAUGCCCUUACUACAACAAGGUGAUGAAAGGCGACCUGUCGAGUACCAUCAACCAUGCAGUUGGAACAUCCCAAGGCAGCACCAAGAAUGGCUAUGCUUUCAGUUUGAACGUAUGCCGACUACUUAAUGAGUCUUCUUUG
RNAcentral lists this ribosomal RNA (669 nucleotides) under Triticum aestivum (bread wheat). RNAcentral's name for it is "partial small subunit ribosomal RNA". The record is from RNAcentral. Lineage: Eukaryota; Viridiplantae; Streptophyta; Magnoliopsida; Poales; Poaceae.